GGUCGAAUGGUGUAGUGGCUAUCACGUUCGCCUCACAUGCGAAUGCGCAGUGUCCGCGAAAGGUCUCGGGUUCGAACCCCGGUUCGACCU
Non-coding RNA from Fusarium poae, 90 nucleotides. The record is from Rfam. Lineage: Eukaryota; Fungi; Ascomycota; Sordariomycetes; Hypocreales; Nectriaceae.